RNAcentral lists this ribosomal RNA (441 nucleotides) under uncultured bacterium. RNAcentral's name for it is "partial 16S ribosomal RNA". It matches the Rfam family "Bacterial small subunit ribosomal RNA", at positions 338 to 795 of the family's 1533-position model. The record is from RNAcentral.
CCUACGGGAGGCAGCAGUGGGGAAUAUUGCACAAUGGGGGAAACCCUGAUGCAGCAACGCCGCGUGAGGGAAGAAGGAUUUCGGUAUGUAAAGCUCUAUCAGCAGGGAAGAAGAAAGACAGUACCUGACUAAGAAGCGCCGGCUAACUACGUGCGAGAAGCCGCGGUAAAACGUAGGGGGCAAGAGUUAUCCGGAUGUACUGGGUGAAAAGGGAGCGUAGACGGCUGUGCAAGUAUGAAGUGAAAGCCCAGGGCUCAACCCUGGGACUGCUUUGGAAACUGUGGAGCUAGAGUGCUGGAGAGGUAAGUGGAAUUCCUAGUGUAGCGGUGAAAUGCGUAGAUAUUAGGAGGAACACCAGUGGCGAAGGCGGCUUACUGGACAGUAACUGACGUUGAGGCUCGAAAGCGUGGGGAGCAAACAGGAUUAGAUACCCCUGUAGUC